AUUUUAUUAUUUUGUUUUACAUUGUGUCUCCAUAAAAAUGCCUCCUAAAGAUCCUGAAUUAAUUGCUCUUAGAAAAGAACUAGAAGAUUUAAUUUCCAAAUGUCAGGGAUUUUCUCGAUUUACAGGGAACGAGGAAAAUUUUUUCAAUUUUUGAGUGCAUAGUCUUCAACUAAAUACGAUUUAUAAUAUUUCAACGUAUGGUUAAAAGAAAUCGGUUCGGUGAGAGAUGAGAAAAAGUGACAGAAAAACAGACAAAAAUAACACAUCAUAGUACCAUUAAUAAGCAAGAUCAAAAAAACAAACAAGACAAAACAAUCGAGGAAAUGUGUAAUGACAUAGCUGAUCCACCUAAAUGUAAACUAGUUACCAAAAAAAUGCUCAAGGGACAUAUUAAUAAAGUGAACUCUGUACAUUAUAGUGGUGACAGCAGACAUGCAGUUUCUGGGUCAUUGGACGGCAAACUGAUUAUAUGGGACACGUGGACUGGAAACAAAGUGCAAGUUAUACCAUUACGUUCCGCGUGGGUCAUGUCCGUUGCUUUUGCACCAACUGGAAAUUUUGUUGCAUGUGGGGGAAUGGAUAACAUGUGUACCAUAUACGAUCUGAACAAUCGAGACACCAAUGGAAGUGCAAAAAUGGUACGCGAACUUUUGGGCUAUGAAGGAUUUCUUUCGUCGUGCCGAUUUGUCGAUGACAAAACGUUGAUAACUGGUUCAGGAGAUAUGAAAAUUUGCACUUGGGACGUGGAAGUUGGUAAAAGAACUAAUGAAGUAGGUGCUGCUCAUUGUGGAGAUGUAGUCUCAUUGUCACUAGCACCUGAUCUAAAUACUUUUAUAACAGGAAGUGUAGACAAAACAUGUAAGCUGUGGGAUCUUAGAAACCCAAAAUGCAAGCAAAUGUUUUUUGGGCACGAGGCUGAUGUCAAUUCUGUCUGUUACCAUAAUAGCGGAUAUGGAUUUGCAACAGCUUCCGAAGAUAAAUCGGCUCGUUUGUAUGAUAUAAGAUCGGAUCAACAAAUUGCUAUGUAUAAACCACCAAAUACUACAUCAGGAUUCACUUCCUGUGGUUUAUCGGUUUCCGGUAGAUUCUUAUUUGCUGGAAGUGAUGACAAUUCCAUUCAUAUCUGGGAUACGAUGAAAGUUCAACACAAUGGUUCAUUGGCAGGCCAUGAAAAUAGAGUGACUUCUUUAACUGUUUCACCCAACGGUAUGUCAGUGGUAUCUAGCUCUUGGGAUACAAAUCUUAGAGUUUGGGUUUAAAAUAACAUAAGAAGCAAAUUGAUAAUCAAUAUUUUUAUUUGUUAAAAAUAGAAAAUCUAUUCGUGAUUUCCCAUCAUUACACGUCAACCACCUAUUGAGAGAGAUUAUUUUACACAUAAAUUGUAGUUAAGUGAAAUAAUUUUAAAUCAAAAUUGUAUAAUGAAAAUACAAUUACAUGAAAUUACUAAUAAUAUGUAGUAUGCUUCAACGAAAACCAUUGCCGCUUUAUUGUUUCAUCAUAACUACAGUCACGCUUUCCAUCCUUUAAGUGGUUAUGAAAAAAACGUCUGAUUUGUUUUAAUGCUGUCAAGUUAUAAUUAACUAUUUUAGUACUUAAACAUUUCUCGAAUCUCAUUAUUUAUUGUCGUUUUAGUAUUUUAUUAUUAUUAUAGUAAAAGACAUUGUUGUAUUUUUAUUAUUAAUUUGCAUAAAAUAUGAUCACCCAAUUAAGGUUUUUCAUAUUAUUUAACAAUUUGUUAUCAGGAUAAGACUGAAUAAGAUG
Molecule: RNA transcript, 1761 nt
Organism: Daktulosphaira vitifoliae (grape phylloxera)
Lineage: Eukaryota; Metazoa; Arthropoda; Insecta; Hemiptera; Phylloxeridae
Gene: Gbeta76C
Gene name: guanine nucleotide-binding protein subunit beta-2
Exons: 9
Source: RefSeq, a predicted model, not a curated record